This 202-nucleotide ribosomal RNA is filed under the name uncultured bacterium. RNAcentral describes it as "partial 16S ribosomal RNA". It matches the Rfam family "Bacterial small subunit ribosomal RNA", at positions 1299 to 1500 of the family's 1533-position model. The record is from RNAcentral.
UGCAGGCUGCAACUCGCCUGCUACGAAGUCGGAAUUGCUAGUAAUCGUAGGUCAGCAUACUACGGUGAAUACGUUCCCGGGCCUUGUACACACCGCCCGUCAAACCAUGAGAGUUGGCAACACCCGAAGUCGGUAGUCUAACCGCAAGGAGGACGCCGCGAAGGUGGGGUUGAUGAUUAGGGUUAAGUCGUAACAAGGUACC